This is a small nuclear RNA of Sorex araneus (European shrew), 107 nucleotides long. NCBI's taxonomy places the organism in Eukaryota, Metazoa, Chordata, Mammalia, Eulipotyphla, Soricidae. The record is from Ensembl.
GUGCUUGCUUCGGCAGCACAUAUACUAAAAUUGGAACGAUACAGAGAAGAUUAGCAUGGCCCCUGCGCAAGGGUGACAUACUUGCAUGAAAAUUUCUGGGAACUUUG